RNAcentral lists this long non-coding RNA (517 nucleotides) under Cricetulus griseus (Chinese hamster). Its description in RNAcentral is "lncRNA (ENSCGRG00015039193.1)". Lineage: Eukaryota; Metazoa; Chordata; Mammalia; Rodentia; Cricetidae. The record is from RNAcentral.
CUUCUUCAGCCUGACUUGCGCCACAAGGGUCAGAAUCAUCAAACACCACCAGCACCCACACACACAGCAAGCAGGACCGAGCUGGGGCUUUCCGGCUAUCAACUCUAAGACGGACAGAGUUCACGUUCAAUUGAAUUGUUCUAACACUGGAGCGAUGCCCAACACCAAAAGGAUCUCAGUGGAUAUUUGCUGCAUGAUUUACUGAAUGAAUGAAUAAAAAGGCACAGUGCUAGACUCUGAAACAUCAAAGAUGACUAACAUUGCAUAUUUCCACAGAGAGUCAUAUCCUAUGUUGGAAAUGUAAACCCUGCAGCCAGUACCCAGACAUGUAAACCACAAUUUUGUUGUUGUUGUUGUUUGUUUUAGGGGACAGGGUUUCCUUGUACAGCUCUGGUUGUCCUGGAACUCACUUUGUAGACCAGGCUGGCCUGGAACUCACAGAGACACCCCCAGUCCCACCUCUGCCAUGCCUGCUCUACUGAAGAGUACUGAGAUUAAAGGCAUGCACUACUACUGC